RNAcentral lists this small RNA (28 nucleotides) under Bombyx mori (domestic silkworm). Its description in RNAcentral is "ovarian small RNA-19820". The record is from RNAcentral. Lineage: Eukaryota; Metazoa; Arthropoda; Insecta; Lepidoptera; Bombycidae.
UAAUGGUUUUUGACUACCUGGAAAGUCC